CAGCUCUCCGAGUGGUAGGGGUGAUUAUUGGGCUUAAAGCGUCCGUAGCCGGCCUGGCAAGUCUUCCGUUAAAUCCAGCAACCUAAUUGUUGGGCUGCGGGGGAUACUGUUAGGCUUGGGGGCGGGAGAGGCCGACGGUAUUCUCGGGGUAGGGGUGAAAUCUUAUAAUCCCGAGAGGACCACCAGUGGCGAAGGCUGUCGGCUAGCACGCGCCUGACGGUGAGGGACGAAAGCUGGGGGAGCGAACCGGAUUAGAUACCCGGGUAGUCCCUGCUGUAAACGAUGCGAGCUAGGUGUUGGGGCGGCUACGAGCCGCUUCAGUGCCGCAGCGAAGGCGUUAAGCUCGCCGCCUGGGGAGUACGGCCGCAAGGCUGAAACUUAAAGGAAUUGGCGGGGGAGCACCACAAGGCGUGAAGCUUGCGGUUCAAUUGGAGUCAACGCCGGGAACCUUACCGGGGGCGACAGCAGGAUGAAGGCCAGGUUGAUGGUCUUGCUGGACGAGCUGAGAGGAGGCGCAUGGCCGUCGUCAGUUCGUGCCGUGAGGUGUCCUCUUAAGUGAGGUAACGAUCGAGACCCGCGCCCCUUGUUGCUAACAGACUCCAUCGGGGUCUGUGCACACUAGGGGACCGCCGUCGAUAAGACGGAGGAAGGAGCGGGCCACGGCAGGUCAGUAUGCCCCGAAUCCCCCGGGCCACACGCGAGCUGCAAUGGCAGGGACAAUGGGUGUCGACUCCGAAAGGAGGAGGUAAUCUCUAAACCCUGCCUCAGUUGGGAUCGAGGGCUGAAACCCGUCCUCGUGAAUAUGGAAUGCCUAGUAAUCGCGCGUCAUCAUCGCGCGGUGAAUACGUCCCCGCUCCUU
Molecule: ribosomal RNA, 859 nt
Filed under: uncultured microorganism
Description: bacterial SSU rRNA
Rfam family: Archaeal small subunit ribosomal RNA
Source: RNAcentral